Molecule: long non-coding RNA, 4077 nt
Filed under: Lathyrus oleraceus (garden pea)
Lineage: Eukaryota; Viridiplantae; Streptophyta; Magnoliopsida; Fabales; Fabaceae
Description: Pisum sativum (pea) long non-coding RNA (PSAT_LNC039100)
Source: RNAcentral
AGGCUCCAUCAUAUGUGUACAAGUCACCACCUCCCCCAUCUCCAUCACCACCACCUCCUUAUGUGUACAAGUCACCACCUCCACCACCAUAUGUGUACAAGUCACCACCUCCUCCAUCUCCAUCACCCCCACCACCAUACUAUUACAAGAGUCCUCCACCACCCUCUCCCUCGCCUCCACCUCCUUACUACUACAAAUCUCCUCCACCACCCUCACCUUCACCUCCACCUCCUUACUACUACAAUCUCCAUCACCCCCACCACCAUACUAUUACAAGAGUCCUCCACCACCCUCUCCCUCGCCUCCACCUCCUUACUACUACAAAUCUCCUCCACCACCCUCACCUUCACCUCCACCUCCUUACUACUACAAAUCUCCUCCACCACCCUCACCUUCACCUCCCCCACCAUACUAUUACAAGUCUCCACCACCACCUUCUCCCUCACCACCACCUCCAUAUUACUACAAAUCUCCACCACCACCCUCACCCUCCCCUCCCCCACCGUACUACUACAACUCUCCCCCACCACCAUAUAUACACAAGGAUCCACCAUACUAUUACAAGUCCCCGCCACCACCUUCACCAUCUCCACCACCACCGUACUACUACAAAUCUCCUCCCACUCCAUCUCCUAUUCCCCAUACCCCAUACUACUACAAAUCUCCUCCCCCUCCAUCUCCUAUUCCCCAUACCCCAUACUACUACAAGUCUCCCCCACCACCCAAGGUCCUUCCACCACCAUACUAUUAUAACUCUCCUCCUCCACCUGUUGUGUAUCCUCACCCACAUCCCUACCACCACUCAUUGAUUGUGAAGGUAAUCGGUAAAGUCUACAGCUUCAGGUGUUAUGACUGGGAGUAUCCUGAAAAAUCUCAUGACAAGAAACAUCUCAAAGGUACAUUACAUUACUACCACAUCCCUACCACCACUCAUUGAUUGUGAAGGUAAUCGGUAAAGUCUACAGCUUCAGGUGUUAUGACUGGGAGUAUCCUGAAAAAUCUCAUGACAAGAAACAUCUCAAAGGUACAUUACAUUACUAAGGAUUAGACUUCUUUAGAGUAAUGAGUUUAGAGUAUAUUCUUAACUAAUUGUCUGUUAAAUUAUUUAUUUAUUUUUUAAAUUUAAUUUUAAUUAAUAUAACAUUGGCAUAGUUUUAAUCAUUAAUGUUUUUGAAGAAAAUAAAAUACUAUCAGUUUUGUUUUAGGAUAUAUAUCCAUAGAUAAUCAAAUAUAAAAUGUAACUUAAUUUCUAUACAUAAUACAAAACAUGAGUUCCUAAGAACCGGCCUCAUAAAAUUAAUUUUGACAAGUAUUGUUUAACAUUCUGCUAUUUUAAUAAUAUUGUCCAAUAUAAUAAGUGUCUUCAAAUUUUACUUAAACUAAUUUUGUUUUGGGGCAGGUGCUGUUGUUGAGGUGACAUGCAAAGCUGGGAGCAAAAUCAUUAAGGCUUAUGGUAAAACUAAGAUCAACGGAAAGUACAGCAUUACAGUUGAGGACUUUGACUAUGUCAAAUAUGGUGCCACAGUGUGCAAGGCCGCCCUUUAUGCUCCACCUAAAGGCUCCCCCUUUAACAUACCUACUAAGCUAAACGAGAACUAAAUUGUACUUGUGUUCCAAAGACUAAGUAUGUAGGCUGGGCUUAAGGCUAAGCCAUUUGCUUAUGCUUCAAAGAAACAUUUUAAAGAAUGUGAGAAGCCCAAGCCUUCACCAACUCCAUACUACUACAAAUCACCUCCACCUCCCACACCAGUUUACAAGCACAAAUCGCCACCUCCACCGGUCCAUUAUUAUUCACCUCCAUAUUACUACAAGUCACCUCCUCCUCCUGUGAAAUCGCCACCAACUCCUUACUACUACAAAUCACCUCCACCUCCCUCACCGAUUUACAAGUACAACUCACCACCUCCACCGGUUUACAAGUACAAGUCGCCUCCUCCCCCGGUCCAUUAUCCCUCACCAGUUUACAAGUACAACUCACCACCUCCCCCAGUCCAUUAUUACACUCCUCCAUAUUCCUACAAAUCACCUCCACCUCCCUCUCCGGUUUACAAAUACAACUCACCACCUCCACCGGUCCAUCAUGAUUCUCCCCCAUACUACUACAAGUCACCUCCACCCCCCUCACCAGUACUCCUCCAUAUUCCUACAAAUCACCUCCACCUCCCUCUCCGGUUUACAAAUACAACUCACCACCUCCACCGGUCCAUCAUGAUUCUCCCCCAUACUACUACAAGUCACCUCCACCCCCCUCACCAGUUUACAAGUACAACUCUCCACCUCCACCAGUUUACAAGUAUAAGUCGCCUCCUCCCCCGGUCCACUAUCCAUCACCGGUUUACAAGUACAACUCACCACCUCCACCGGUUUAUAAGUACAACUCACCACCUCCUCCAGUCCAUUAUUAUUCUCCUCCAUAUUACUACAAGUCACCUCCACCUCCUUCUCCGAUUUACAAAUACAACUCACCACCUCCACCAGUCCAUCAUGAUUCUCCCCCAUAUUACUACAAGUCACCUCCACCCCCCUCACCGGUUUACAAGUACAACUCACCACCUCCACCGGUUUAUAAGUACAACUCACCACCUCCACCGGUUCAUUAUUAUUCUCCUCCAUAUUACUACAAGUCACCUCCACCUCCAUCUCCGGUUUACAAAUACAACUCACCACCUCCACCGGUCCAUCAUGAUUCUCCCCCAUAUUACUACAAGUCACCUCCACCCCCCUCACCGGUUUACAAGUACAACUCACCACCUCCACCAGUAUACAAGUACAAGUCACCUCCACCCCCCUCACCGGUUUACAAGUAUAACUCACCACCUCCACCAGUAUACAAGUACAAGUCACCUCCUCCCCCAGUCCAUUAUCCCUCACCGGUUUAUAAGUACAACUCACCACCACCUCCAUAUUAUUACAAGUCCCCACCUCCACCAUCCCCGUCCCCUCCUCCACCAUACUAUUAUAAGUCCCCACCACCACCCUCGCCAUCUCCACCGCCACCUUACUAUUAUAAGUCACCUCCUCCACCUAAGGAGAUUUCAAACCCACCAUACUACUAUAAGUCACCACCCCCACCAUCACCUUCCCCUCCUCCACCAUACUAUUAUAAGUCCCCACCUCCACCAUCACCAUCCCCACCCCCUCCAUACUAUUACAAAUCUCCUCCACCACCAUCACCAUCACCACCACCUCCCUACUAUUACAAAUCACCUCCACCACCAUCACCAUCUCCUCCCCCUCCAUACUAUUACAAAUCUCCACCACCUCCAUCACCAUCUCCACCCCCUCCCUACUAUUACAAAUCACCUCCACCACCCUCACCAUCGCCGCCACCUCCUUACUAUUACAAAUCUCCCCCACCUCCAUCUCCAUCACCACCACCUCCUUAUCACUAUCAAAGUCCUCCUCCACCAUCUCCCAUUUCUCAUCCUCCCUACUACUACAAAUCCCCUCCACCACCAUCGUCGUCUCCUCCACCUCCUUACCAAUAUGUGAGUCCUCCCCCACCGGUAAAGUCACCUCCACCACCAGCUUAUAUUUAUGCUUCACCACCACCACCCAUCUACAACUAAGCUCAAACUGCAGAAGCACCAUUCAUGAUAAAUCAUGUAAGUUUAUCAUUUUUAUUGUUAUUAGUUUGUGUUUUUGUGUGUUAUAUACCUGAUAAUAACCAAAAUUCCUAUUCUUAUUUGUUUUCAGGUUCCAGUUUUCAUCUAGGAAUAAAGUCAAUCUCCAUUUGGAGCAAAGUGAAACUUCUAGCUUCAUGUCUAAAUUCGUUAAAUAAAUGUCUGGAUAUAUCAUCUUUGAGUUAUAAUAUUUAUGAUCCAGACAAUAUUUAUUUUAUUUCUUUGGUGCCAAUCUUGCACUUCCUUGUCUUAUUCUAUUCAAGGGAUAGACAAAUCUAAAGGGAGAAGCGAGAUUAGUUUAUUUGUGGUCUCUUUGAUUUAUUUGUGUAUAGAUCAAUAUGGAUGUGUAUUAUAGUUUUUUAUUUAUUGAAGAAUUUUUUAUUGUAACCAGCUAUUGUGUUUGCCAAAAGUUGUUAUCAAAUAAGAAUCACAUUCAACUUCUGUCAAUUAUUAC